GAUGAAUGCUGGCGGCGUGCCUAACACAUGCAAGUCGAGCGGCAGCGAGGGGUGCUUGCACCCUGUCGGCGAGCGGCGAACGGCUGAGUAACGCGUAGGAAUUUGCCCCAAAGUGAGGAAUAACUGCCCGAAAGGGUAGCUAAUGCCGCAUAUGGUCUUCGGAUUAAAGGAUUUAUCCGCUUUGGGAGAAGCCUGCGUUGGAUUAGGUUGUUGGUAGGGUAAUGGCCUACCAAGCCGACGAUCCAUAGCUGGUCUGUGAGGAUGAUCAGCCAGACUGGAACGGAGACACGGUCCAGACUCCUACGGGAGGCAGCAGUGAGGAAUCUUCCACAAUGGGCGAAAGCCUGAUGGAGCAACGCCGCGUGAAGGAUGAAGGCCUUCGGGUUGUAAACUUCUUUUAUGAGUGAAGAAUAUGACGGUAACUCAUGAAUAAGCACCGGCUAACUACGUG
Molecule: ribosomal RNA, 451 nt
Filed under: uncultured bacterium
Lineage: Bacteria
Description: partial 16S ribosomal RNA
Rfam family: Bacterial small subunit ribosomal RNA
Source: RNAcentral